CGAUAUCAAUAAGCGGAGGAAAAGAAAAUAACAAUGAUUCCCUUAGUAACGGCGAGCGAAGAGGGAAUAGCUCAAAUUUUAAAUCUGUUGGGUUUUACCUAACCGAGUUGUAAUUUGAAGAAGCGUUUUCUGCGUGUUUGAUUUAGCCCAAAUCCUUUGGGAUAGGGAAUCAUGGAGGGUGAGAAUCCCGUCCGGCCUAAUCAAAUGUGCUUUACGAUACGUUUUCUAAGAGUCGAGUUGUUUGGGAUUGCAGCUCAAAAUGGGAGGUAAAUUUCUCCUAAGGCUAAAUAUAGGCGAGAGACCGAUAGCGAACAAGUACCGUGAGGGAAAGAUGAAAAGAACUUUGAAAAGAGAGUUAAACAGUACGUGAAAUUGUUGAAAGGGAAACGAUUAAAGUCAGUCGUACUAACGGGGAAUCAACCUUUUGAGGGUGGACUUGUGGGAUUCAGAGAGCCUUUGUCUUUCACAACCUGCUUUUUUUGGGUGCAAUUUGUCGUAUUGUAGGUCAGCAUCGGUUUCGACCGUUAUAAAAUGACUGGAGGAAUGUAGCUUCGAUCUCGUAUUGAAGUGUUAUAGCCUUUGGUAGAUGUAACGGAUGGGAUCGAGGAUUGCAACGAAUACCCUCAUGGGCUAUCCGUCUGAUCUCUGAAAGUUGCUUAGGUGCCGAAAGCAUGCUUACGGUUAUUUAAGUUGACGGUCAAAAGGUUAGAACGGAUUAAAUUCGUUAAGGAUGUUGACGUA
This 741-nucleotide ribosomal RNA is filed under the name uncultured Glomus. RNAcentral's name for it is "eukaryotic LSU rRNA". It matches the Rfam family "Eukaryotic large subunit ribosomal RNA", at positions 38 to 633 of the family's 3401-position model. Lineage: Eukaryota; Fungi; Glomeromycota; Glomeromycetes; Glomerales; Glomeraceae. The record is from RNAcentral.